Molecule: non-coding RNA, 24 nt
Filed under: Arabidopsis thaliana (thale cress)
Lineage: Eukaryota; Viridiplantae; Streptophyta; Magnoliopsida; Brassicales; Brassicaceae
Source: RNAcentral
CUGCUUCCACUUUGGUGAUUGGCU